GCUGCCAAGCCUUUCACACUCUCUUCUCUGAAAUCUCAGCGCUGCCAGCGACCAGCUGGGGAUCUGAGCAUCGGCAAUCUGCUGGCCAGCUCUGCCCAACCCCCCCACUCGAGAGGGUUCGUUUCUGAAAGGGCACCGUUGAGCGUCUCUUAAUGCAUGCUGCGGAGUGGGGAAGGCAGUGUGUGUUAUUACGGGGUGGAAACCGUCGCCAAUCAAGGAGCACACUUUUGACCAUGGCAGAACUGUAGCGUUGGUGUCCGGUCUGGAACCAGCAAGGCCUUUCCACCACACUGAAGAAGGCACCAGCUGAAAACGUUUGUAGUCUGCUUGACUUAUGGUUAUGAGUUUUACCUUUCAACCACACUGCCUCCAGCCUGCACACUGAAGACAAGACCACACUGCCUCCAGCCUGCACACUGAAGACAAGACCACACUGCCUCCAGCCUGCACACUGAAGACAAGACCACGCUGCCUCCAGCCUGCACACUGAAGACAAGACCACACUGCCUCCAGCCUGCGCACUGAAGACAAGACCACACUGCCUCCAGCCUGCACACUGAAGACAAGACCACACUGCCUCCAGCCUGCACACUGAAGACAAGACCACACUGCCUCCAGCCUGCACACUGAAGACAAGACCACACUGCCUCCAGCCUGCGCACUGAAGACAAGACCACACUGCCUCCAGCCUGCACACUGAAGACAAGACCACACUGCCUCCAGCCUGCACACUGAA
This is a long non-coding RNA of Acipenser ruthenus (sterlet), 736 nucleotides long. RefSeq lists it as uncharacterized. The transcript has 3 exons. NCBI's taxonomy places the organism in Eukaryota, Metazoa, Chordata, Actinopteri, Acipenseriformes, Acipenseridae. The record is from RefSeq and is a predicted model, not a curated record.